CCUACGGGAGGCAGCAGUGAGGAAUAUUGGUCAAUGGACGAGAGUCUGAACCAGCCAAGUAGCGUGAAGGAUGACUGCCCUAUGGGUUGUAAACUUCUUUUAUAUGGGAAUAAAAUGUUCCACGUGUGGGCUUUUGUAUGUACCCUAUGAAUAAGGAUCGGCUAACUCCGUGCCAGCAGCCGCGGUAAUACGGAGGAUCCGAGCGUUAUCCGGAUUUAUUGGGUUUAAAGGGAGCGUAGGUGGAUUGUUAAGGCAGUUGUGAAAGUUUGCGGCUCAACCGUAAAAUUGCAGUUGAAACUGGCAGUCUUGAGUACAGUAGAGGUGGGCGGAAUUCGUGGUGUAGCGGUGAAAUGCUUAGAUAUCACGAAGAACUCCGAUUGCGAAGGCAGCUCACUGGACUGCAACUGACACUGAGGCUCGAAAGUGUGGGUAUCAAACAGGAUUAGAUACCCUUGUAGUC
This 460-nucleotide ribosomal RNA is filed under the name uncultured bacterium. RNAcentral's name for it is "partial 16S ribosomal RNA". It matches the Rfam family "Bacterial small subunit ribosomal RNA", at positions 338 to 795 of the family's 1533-position model. The record is from RNAcentral.